This 800-nucleotide ribosomal RNA is filed under the name uncultured bacterium. RNAcentral's name for it is "bacterial SSU rRNA". It matches the Rfam family "Bacterial small subunit ribosomal RNA", at positions 8 to 805 of the family's 1533-position model. The record is from RNAcentral.
AGAGUUUGAUCCUGGCUCAGAUUGAACGCUGGCGGCAUGCCUUACACAUGCAAGUCGAACGGUAACAGGUCUUCGGAUGCUGACGAGUGGCGAACGGGUGAGUAAUACAUCGGAACGUGCCCAGUAAUGGGGGAUAGCUCGGCGAAAGCCGGAUUAAUACCGCAUACGCCCUGAGGGGGAAAGUGGGGGACCGCAAGGCCUCACGUUAUUGGAGCGGCCGAUGGCUGAUUAGCUAGUUGGUAGGGUAAAGGCCUACCAAGGCGACGAUCAGUAGCUGGUCUGAGAGGACGAUCAGCCACACUGGGACUGAGACACGGCCCAGACUCCUACGGGAGGCAGCAGUGGGGAAUUUUGGACAAUGGGGGAAACCCUGAUCCAGCAAUGCCGCGUGUGCGAAGAAGGCCUUCGGGUUGUAAAGCACUUUUGUCAGGGAAGAAAUCCUUUGGGCUAAUACCCUAGGGGGAUGACGGUACCUGAAGAAUAAGCACCGGCUAACUACGUGCCAGCAGCCGCGGUAAUACGUAGGGUGCAAGCGUUAAUCGGAAUUACUGGGCGUAAAGCGUGCGCAGGCGGUUGUGUAAGACAGGUGUGAAAUCCCCGGGCUUAACCUGGGAAUUGCAUUUGUGACUGCACGACUAGAGUGUGUCAGAGGGGGGUGGAAUUCCACGUGUAGCAGUGAAAUGCGUAGAUAUGUGGAGGAACACCAAUGGCGAAAGCAGCCCCCUGGGAUAACACUGACGCUCAUGCACGAAAGCGUGGGGAGCAAACAGGAUUAGAUACCCUGGUAGUCCACGCCCUAA